RNAcentral lists this transfer RNA (73 nucleotides) under Bos taurus (domestic cattle). It matches the Rfam family "tRNA". From Rfam's summary of the family: Transfer RNA (tRNA) molecules are approximately 80 nucleotides in length. Their secondary structure includes four short double-helical elements and three loops (D, anti-codon, and T loops). RNAcentral also lists the same sequence under 4 other names. The record is from Rfam by way of RNAcentral. Lineage: Eukaryota; Metazoa; Chordata; Mammalia; Artiodactyla; Bovidae.
UGCUUGGUAGUUCAGUGGUUAGGACUUGGUACUUUCAUUGCCAAAGGUCUGGGUUCAAUCCCAGGUCAGGGAA